This 466-nucleotide ribosomal RNA is filed under the name uncultured bacterium. RNAcentral's name for it is "partial 16S ribosomal RNA". It matches the Rfam family "Bacterial small subunit ribosomal RNA", at positions 28 to 507 of the family's 1533-position model. The record is from RNAcentral.
GAUGAACGCUGGCGGCGUGCUUAACACAUGCAAGUCGAACGGGAAGGCUCCUGCUUGCAGGGGUACUCGAGUGGCGAACGGGUGAGUAACACGUGGGUGAUCUGCCCUGCACUUCGGGAUAAGCCUGGGAAACUGGGUCUAAUACCGGAUAGGACGAUGGUUUGGAUGCCAUUGUGGAAAGUUUUUCGGUGUGGGAUGAGCUCGCGGCCUAUCAGCUUGUUGGUGGGGUAAUGGCCUACCAAGGCGUCGACGGGUAGCCGGCCUGAGAGGGUGUACGGCCACAUUGGGACUGAGAUACGGCCCAGACUCCUACGGGAGGCAGCAGUGGGGAAUAUUGCACAAUGGGCGCAAGCCUGAUGCAGCGACGCCGCGUGGGGGAUGACGGCCUUCGGGUUGUAAACUCCUUUCGCUAGGGACGAAGCGUUUUGUGACGGUACCUGGAGAAGAAGCACCGGCUAACUACGUG